RNAcentral lists this ribosomal RNA (465 nucleotides) under Vreelandella stevensii. Its description in RNAcentral is "partial 16S ribosomal RNA". It matches the Rfam family "Bacterial small subunit ribosomal RNA", at positions 338 to 795 of the family's 1533-position model. The record is from RNAcentral. Lineage: Bacteria; Pseudomonadati; Pseudomonadota; Gammaproteobacteria; Oceanospirillales; Halomonadaceae.
CCUACGGGAGGCUGCAGUGGGGAAUAUUGGACAAUGGGCGAAAGCCUGAUCCAGCCAUGCCGCGUGUGUGAAGAAGGCCUUCGGGUUGUAAAGCACUUUCAGUGGGGAAGAAAGCCUUGGGGCUAAUACCCUCGAGGAAGGACAUCACCCACAGAAGAAGCACCGGCUAACUCCGUGCCAGCAGCCGCGGUAAUACGGAGGGUGCGAGCGUUAAUCGGAAUUACUGGGCGUAAAGCGCGCGUAGGCGGUCUGAUAAGCCGGUUGUGAAAGCCCCGGGCUCAACCUGGGAACGGCAUCCGGAACUGUCAGGCUAGAGUGCAGGAGAGGAAGGUAGAAUUCCCGGUGUAGCGGGGAAAUGCGUAGAGAUCGGGAGGAAUACCAGUGGCGAAGGCGGCCUUCUGGACUGACACUGACGCUGAGGUGCGAAAGCGUGGGUAGCAAACAGGAUUAGAUACCCUGGUAGUC